UACGUAGGGUGCGAGCGUUAAUCGGAAUUACUGGGCGUAAAGUGUGCGCAGGCGGCACCGCAAGUCGAGUGUGAAAGCCCCGGGCUUAACUUGGGAAUUGCGCUCGAAACUAUGGUGCUGGAGUGUGGCAGAGGAAGGUGGAAUUCCAGGUGUAGCGGUGAAAUGCGUAGAGAUCUGGAGGAACACCGAUGGCGGAGGCAGCCUUCUGGGCCAACACUGACGCUCAUGCACGAAAGCGUGGGGAGCAAACAGG
Molecule: ribosomal RNA, 253 nt
Filed under: uncultured bacterium
Lineage: Bacteria
Description: partial 16S ribosomal RNA
Rfam family: Bacterial small subunit ribosomal RNA
Source: RNAcentral